GGUUUUUAGUUUUAUUUGAGGAUUUGCUCUGCUCAAUGAAUGUUUAAAUAGUUGCGGUAGGUUGACUGUGCUAAGGUAGCAUAAUAAUUAGUUUAUUAAUUGUGAACUGGAAUGAAGGGGCUGAUGGGGGGCUUGCUAUCUAUGUGUUAUAUAGUUUGAAUUUGACGUUUGUGUUAGAAGGCGUAUUUGAUUUUAAGGGACGAUAAGACCCUAUAGAAUUUUAUGUUUUAUUUAAAUUUAGUAGGGUUUAUUUUUCUUUGUUUAUAGGGGGAUAUUUAGUUGGGGUGAUUGGAAUAGGAUUUAAACUUUUUAUUAAUUUAUUCAAUUGUGUUUGAUUAGUUGACUUGAAUUUAGGUGUAAGAUUAAAUUACCUUAGGGAUAACAGCAUUAUUUUCUUGGAGAGUUCUAAUCAAUAGGGGAGUUUGUGACCUCGAUGUUGGAUUAAGGUUUCUUUUGGGUGAAGUGGUUUUGUGAGUUAGUCUGUUCGACUAUAAAAUCUAACA
RNAcentral lists this ribosomal RNA (503 nucleotides) under Ptilocerembia roepkei. RNAcentral describes it as "partial 16S ribosomal RNA". The stretch from base 378 to 503 matches the Rfam family "Bacterial large subunit ribosomal RNA", at positions 2473 to 2600 of the family's 2925-position model. Lineage: Eukaryota; Metazoa; Arthropoda; Insecta; Embioptera; Ptilocerembiidae. The record is from RNAcentral.